AACUGUUGCUAUCAGCUGCUGUUUCUGUUGUUGUUGUUGCAUUACUGGACGUUGGACUGCAUCUUCAUUGUAUCAUUUGAUUUACCCUGCAAAACUUCAACAAUGCUCACUUCCGUCGCCCAAAAGCGAACUAGCAGAAUGUUCACCUGCAAGCCCGGCCAUUUCUUUACCCAUAUGCCCGCUGUCGUGCACUGCGAGAAAAUCAGUGAGCUCCAAUCGAUGGCGUAAAUUGCAGCUAAGCAUGUUGAUACUUACAUGUUGGUACAUUUUAAGCAAUGUGUAUGUUUGCUCACAUAGAUUUCGAUUACAUGGAUGUACAUUAAUAAAAUUACCUACAAGAUAUAAUA
Molecule: long non-coding RNA, 347 nt
Organism: Drosophila yakuba
Lineage: Eukaryota; Metazoa; Arthropoda; Insecta; Diptera; Drosophilidae
Exons: 2
Source: RefSeq, a predicted model, not a curated record